This is a long non-coding RNA of Ipomoea triloba (trilobed morning glory), 653 nucleotides long. RefSeq lists it as uncharacterized. The transcript is spliced from 3 exons. Lineage: Eukaryota; Viridiplantae; Streptophyta; Magnoliopsida; Solanales; Convolvulaceae. The record is from RefSeq and is a predicted model, not a curated record.
UUACCCGAGUCGAAGGGCUUGCCUCCUCGGGAAAAGAUGUCAUGGGUGUGCCCCGUAUCUCGAAUAGCUGGUCCGCGAUGUUGCUCGGUGAACCCCCUCGGACCUCUUCGGUGACGUUGUCGUAGGACGACACCGAGAAUGAGCUCACUUCAACCAUUGUGUCCUGUUUCUGAAUAUGCAGAUACGUAUUACGACAAGUACAUCGGGCAGCUUAGACCAAAUUCUUCCCCUGCAGUAGCGAAAGUCCUUGAGUCCAUUCCUGGAGUAAAAGUAAUAUACAGAACCAAAGAGCUAGAGGAGCAACAGUCUAAGAGGACCCUAUAAACUCAAUGGCAAUACAAUGUGAUACAAAGCUGCAGCAGCUUUUUGGAUGUGAAAGCAUUUCUGCGCUGGGUGUACCAGAAAUGUUGGCACGCCAUCAUCUGUCCAAGAGAUCUUGACAAUUAAUGAUAUUAUUGGUUAGUGUAGUUUACCAAUUGCUUGCUAUGCACAAAUUUUUUGAUUGGUUAAUUAGUAUUAGCAUUUCUUAUUGAUUAAAUUUUGUAAUAUACUCUUUUACUGAGAAGAUCCAAUUAUCUUGCAAUCGAUUUGUCAUUAAGUAAAACUGUGAAAGGAGUAAUUGAAUGAAAGUGCUUAGAACACUUUUUGUCCAA